UCAUUUCCUUCACAAUACACAUGAGCCUAGAAAGGGAGAGAGAGAAAAAAUCAACAUUAGUAUAGGUUCAGCCCUGACAUCCUAAAUGAGGCUCUAAAUUUUCUUAUGGCUCAAGUCAUCAUUCUACAGCAACAUCAACAUUCAUCUCCCAAGGAAAGAAUUGCAAACCUAUGUUCUACCAGUAACCUGGGUGUAACCUUACUAUAAAUGAAAACAUGCUUCCUUUUUUUUAACUAUACAAAAGAUUCUGAGUUAGGCUGCGCAUGGUGGCUCAUGCCUGCAAUCCCAGCAUUUCGGGAGGCUAAGGUGGGCAGAUCACUUGAGGCCUGCUUAUCUGUUUUACUUGUGUCCCAAUGUCCCCCAAAUACCCACCUCAUACAUGAGGCCGUAUGGGAUAAAGGUUAGUUAAGUGCUCAAGGGUCUGUGCCUAAUUUAGAGCCUAGCUCUGCUGCUUUUCUCUGUGGAAACUUGGAGAAGUAUUUGAUCUCUUCCUACUUCACUUACUCCAAUAUUAGAAUAUUGUACAAUACUGUACUUCUAGAGAAGUACAAUAGAACCUAAUUUAUAGGGUGCACCUAUGCAUUUAAGAACAUUAUACACAUAAUACCGUAUCUCAAUAGGUCUAAGACUCGCAUUUUACUCUCUGGAACUGGGAUGCAUCUUACAAUGGAUGACAUAAGCAGUGAAUCACAGUUCACCAUUUUCAGUGCUUAUCCUUUGUUGUGUAUAAAAUAAUGGUGUGCCUUACAAUUACUUUUUGUAAAUUGGAUGACAUUAGGUAUUAACAACAGUACUGGCACAUUAGUUGUUACAGCUCCGCAAGGCUUUAUGCACAAUUAUGUAAUCCCCAAAGCUCUGAAAACCGAAAUUUACAAAAUUUAGCACCCCAACUGGUUUGGUAGCCAAGUGCAGGUUAUAGGGAGCUGGAAGGGGAAGGGGGUCACAGUAGGUGGCAUCGUUCCUUUCUGACUGCCCGCCCCCCGCAUGCCGUCCCGCGAUAUUGAGCUCCGAACCUCUCGCCCUGCCGCCGCCGGUGCUCCGUCGCCGCCGCGCCGCCAUGGAAUUCGAACGCUGACGUCAUCAACCCGCUCCAAGGAAUCGCGGGCCCAGUGUCACUAGGCGGGAACACCCAGCGCGCGUGCGCCCUGGCAGGAAGAUGGCUGUGAGGGACAGGGGAGUGGCGCCCUGCAAUAUUUGCAUGUCGCUAUGUGUUCUGGGAAAUCACCAUAAACGUGAAAUGUCUUUGGAUUUGGGAAUCUUAUAAGUUCUGUAUGAGACCACUUUUUCCCAUAGGGCGGAGGGAAGCUCAUCAGUGGGGCCACGAGCU
This 1327-nucleotide long non-coding RNA is filed under the name Homo sapiens (human). RNAcentral's name for it is "HSALNT0375531". The record is from RNAcentral. Lineage: Eukaryota; Metazoa; Chordata; Mammalia; Primates; Hominidae.